RNAcentral lists this ribosomal RNA (253 nucleotides) under uncultured bacterium. RNAcentral's name for it is "partial 16S ribosomal RNA". It matches the Rfam family "Bacterial small subunit ribosomal RNA", at positions 524 to 776 of the family's 1533-position model. The record is from RNAcentral.
UACGGAGGGUGCAAACGUUGCUCGGAAUCAUUGGGCGUAAAGCGCACGUAGGUGGCUUGUUAAGUCGGGUGUGAAAUCCCUGGGCUCAACCCAGGAAGUGCACUCGAAACUGGCGAGCUUGAGUACUGAAGAGGGUCGCGGAAUUCCCGGUGUAGAGGUGAAAUUCGUAGAUAUUGGGAGGAACACCAGUGGCGAAGGCGGCUCACUGGACCGGAACUGACGCUGAGGCGCGAAAGCGUGGGGAGCAAACGGG